This is an RNA transcript of Megalobrama amblycephala (Wuchang bream), 3579 nucleotides long. It is a transcript of the gene named GTPase IMAP family member 9-like, with no coding region annotated. NCBI's taxonomy places the organism in Eukaryota, Metazoa, Chordata, Actinopteri, Cypriniformes, Xenocyprididae. The record is from RefSeq and is a predicted model, not a curated record. The transcript is spliced from 5 exons.
UUGUGCGACAUGCGAUUGCCUCAGGCCGUUUCUCAAAACCAAGUUUGCAAACUUCGGACUCGCAUCCUUGGUAGUUAUGACUUGGCAAGUUCGACUCAGGAGAACGAGCUCCCGUGGACGGGAGAACACAAGUCCGGUGAUUCUGCAAAUGGAACAGCAGCGUUCUUGAUAACGUCACUCAGCUCGCUCUGGCUUCUCCGGUUAUCUCUUUAUGUAUAUUUUAGCCAACAAUAAAACGAAAUUUGUUAUAAAACACCACUCUGCCUCUUUUCGUUUUAUUUAAAAAAAAACAAACAAAAACAUAUUAAUAGUCUCAGGCAACCAGUGAUUGAUUAUCUGCAAUGUGCAUAUAUUUAUAACAAAACGAAAUAUUAAACAACCCUGCCUCUUUUCGUAUAUAUUUCAAAAAUAUUAAAUGUACUAUCUGUGCUUACUCUGAUUAACUUCACUGUAAUAAAAUGAAAUAGGCUAUAACAUAAAACAAAACCAUGUCUCUUUGUUUUAUGUCAGUUUUAAUGAUCAAUAUAAAAGGUAAGAAUAUACAAUAAGAAAUAAAGCAAACAAUUCAGUCAAGCGUACAAAAUCAGCGCUUUAGUAGGAUACAAAAGUUAAAUAGCCAUAUAUAAAGUUAUGAACAAACGUCACGUUGCCCUCAGCCAAAACGGAGCCAGCGGCAAACGUCAGAAGGACAAGCCGAGAUAAGGCUGCUCUCGGCUGGGUACAUGAGCGCUGAGCGUCCGGUGAUCGCCUGGAUCUCACAACUCCGACAACGUCAGAUCAAAUUGUCAGAAAGGCGCAAUCUGUAUCAAUAAAACACAAAUUUGAGCUUUAAACCAACACAUUCUCGCCUGAAAAACUCUUAAAACUACAUAUCAUGACAUAAAAACAGUAAUAUGUUUAAAUUAUGCGGGGUUUCUCCUUUACUAUUGACGCUUGCUGGUUAGUGCGAGAUGCAUUCUGGGAUACCUGGCUGUCUCAAGUCUGCACCAUAGGUCUGCACAAGUUACCUCUCGAUGCAUCCUCGAUAAAAGGGGCGGAUCAAGAACACAUCCGGGAAUUUGAACUGAACUUGGCUAGAUGUGAACUUUGAAUUGGAACAGUACUUGGACAGCGACUGAUGACGUUUCACAAGUCCACGAGAGCACAAGUACAGACAAGUACGCAUAUUGAGAAACGGCCUCAGUCUAGUCAUGUUUGAGGCCGAUGACGCAUGUGAUUUUCGCUUCUCCUCACAAAAUAUCCUGUGUGUACCAGAGUGGGAGAAGCUGUCGCCCCGUUGCUCCACUGAUUAUUUCUCUUAAUUACAGAUAUUCUUUGCUGAAUCUCAAUAAGUGUUCGUGUGGUCCUUGUGUGAGUGAGAGAGAGACCGGUUCAGACACGCUACAAUUGCACGUUUCAUCAGAAAACACAGAUGAACUGAGGAUUGUGCUGCUGGGAAAAGUUGGGAAAAGUGCAACUGGAAACACAAUCUUAGGAAGAGACGCAUUUACAGCAAAAACAUCUCAUGAGUCAGUGACUAAAGAGAGUCAGAGAGAAACAUCUGAAAUCAACGGCCGACACGUUACUGUGAUCGACACUCCAGGACUGUUUGAUACUGAACUGAGUAAUGAGGAGAUCCAGAGAGAAAUCAGACACUGCAUCUCCAUGAUCCUGCCUGGACCUCAUGUGUUUCUCCUACUGAUUCCUCUGGGACGAUUCACUCAAGAAGAAGCAACAUCAGUGAAGAUCAUCCAAGAGACGUUCGGUGAGAAAUCUCUAAAGUACACCAUGGUGCUCUUCACCAGAGGAGAUGAUCUGAAGAACAAAACCAUUGAACAGUGUUUGGGAAAACCUGGAUCUCCUUUGAUGAACCUGAUUGAAGCGUGUGGAUUCCAUGUGUUCAAUAAUAAUCAGACUGGAGACCGAACACAGGUGUCUGAUCUACUGGAGAAGAUAGACAACAUGGUGACAGCGAACGGAGGGAGUUUCUACUCAUGUAAGAUGUUCAGAGAGAUGGAGAGAGAAAAACAAGAACAACAGAUGAAGAUCCUGAUGGACAGAGACAGAGAAAGAGAAGAGGAGAUGAAGAAACUAGAAGAAGAGAAAGAGAGAAUGAAGAUGAUGGAGGAAGAACAACAGAAUCAAGACAAAAAGAGAAAGAGAAGAGAAGAAGAACUCAAAAGAGAAAUAAGAGAACAAGAGAAACAUCAGAGAGAGAUACGAGACAAGAUGAGAUGAGAACGAGAGACUUUUAGACAUGAAAUAGAGGAAAUGAAGGAAGAAAAGGAGACUGCAGAAAGAAAAGGAAAAACGUCAAAUGGAAAUAGACUGAUGAACAGAAUAGAGAGUGAGAGAAAGAGAAGAGAAGAAGAGUUUAAUGAGAGAGAAGAAUGAUAUAGAAGAAGAAUGAAAGAGAAAGAAGAGAGAGAGGAAAAGAUGUGUGAGAAGAUGAAGAGAGAAAGAGAGGAAUGGGAGAAACAAAAACUAGAGGAAAAAACAAGAAGAGAAGAAGAUAAGAAAAGAAGAGAAGAAGAACAGAGAGUUUGUGAUGAAUUUAACCAGAGACUGAAACGAGAGAGAGAGAAUGAAAAUAGAGAAAGAAGAUCUUCAAUAUAAACAUGAAGCAAAAGAAAACAAGAUGAAGAUCCUGAUGGAGGAGAGAGUGAAGAGACUGAACAGAGAAAGAGAAGAACUGAUGAAGAAACAUGAAGAAAAGAAAGAGAGAAUGAAGAUGAUGAUGAUGAUGGAGAAAGAAUGACAGAAUCAGGACAAAGAGAGAAAGAGAAGAGAUUAAAGGGAGAGAACAAUAUAAAACACGAAUAAAAGAGAAAGAGAGAGAUGUGUGAGGAGAUGAAGAGAGAACGAGAGGAAUGGGAGAAACUGAAACAGCAAAGUCCAACAAACCAUACCAAGUUCGAGAGCUGCUCGAUUCCAGGCACCGGGGUCCGAGGCUCCAGUAUGUGGUGGACUGGGAGGGGUACGGUCCAGAGGAGUGAUCCUGGGUCAACGCGAAAGACAUCCUGGACCCCAAUCUUGUGGAGGAAUUCCAUCGGACACAUCCGGAGAGACCGGCCCCGUGACCUCGUGGAAGACCUCGGCGCCCGCCACCUCGCGUCUGGAGCCGCUCGCAGGGUGGGGGCUCUGUCACGAAUACAGCUCCCCCGGUGCAUCCUCCGGACCACCGGAGGGAGCCGUCUCCCGAAUAUUGACUGUGUACCAUCUGGACUCCAUUACCCAUAGGCCUGCAUUCCUGGGACUGAUUACACAUGCACCUGUACCAUAUCACACUCACACUAUUUAAGACGCUCACACACACACACACUCCAUCGUGAAGUCUUGAUUUGCUGUAGUGAUCAUUUCUGAGUGUUUUCUUGUGGACUGAACUUCUGUUAUUACCUGGACUGCCUAUCUCUGCUGAACCGUCCCGCCGGCCCUGACUCUUGCCUGUUACUGACUCUGUGAUUGUUUGUCGCCUGUCUCCAUCCUUGCCUGUGACCUGUCUCUGAUUCUCUGCUGCCAGCCCCGACCAUUGCCUGUCCCUGUUUACAGUACUGUCUUGCCCUUGUCUGUUACUGCCUUUUAAUAAAGCUGCAAAUGGAU